RNAcentral lists this long non-coding RNA (1829 nucleotides) under Triticum aestivum (bread wheat). Its description in RNAcentral is "long non-coding RNA (TAES_LNC012231)". Lineage: Eukaryota; Viridiplantae; Streptophyta; Magnoliopsida; Poales; Poaceae. The record is from RNAcentral.
UCGAUUUUGAUGUGACUGACCUGUUGUCUCGCCGGAGACCGAGUCUCAGUUCAUGCCGUCGAUCGUCAUCGUCUGAUCUCGUCGCCGCCGUGGGAGGUAAGGGGAACGCGGGGAAGAGGAGAAGGGUGGCGAAGGGGCAAUGGGCAGGGUCGAUUUGGGCUGCUGGGUCGAAUCGGUUCAGGUGGGUCAAUUAGACCGCACCAACCCGCCCCAAUCCGACGUGGCCUGUGGGCUUGACCCAAGCACCACGUAGGCAAAACUGCUCUUCCAAUCCGCUUAACUUGGGGCUAGGGGAUAAUCUGUGUGGUUUUUUAUUGAUCAGGGGAUUAAAUCUGGUUUUAUAGUUGGGGGGUUAUCUGUCCCUUGAGUGAUAGUUCUGGGGGGCUAUCUAUACUAUUUUCUUUGUUUUUGGUCUAUGUAUGAGGAUUGAAUUAUAGCAGUUCUUUUGCAGGGCUUUUGUUGCUGGAUUUCAUGGCUGACAAUUUAAUGAUGGAUGAAAAUAUGAAACCAAGUCGCAGUCUAGUAAGAAGUCCUGUCUGCCGUUUAUGUAUUUAAUAAUGUUUUGUAUUUAAUUAUCUGUUGCACAUGAUAUCUUUUGAUUUGUGAACUAAGUAAAAUACUUCAACAGGUGUGUGGAGCUGGAAUUACGUCAAGCAAUGAUUUUCCCAUAAGAAAGUUGUUCCUGCGCGCUCAACAUGCCAAUACCACAGUAGAUCUGAACGCCACCACUAAUGCGAAUGUAAGCAUGUUUCAUAAUUGUUAUGCUUGUUGUACUAGUUAUGUGUUGUGAUGAAUGCACUUAUUAUUGACCACUUAUGGUUUUCUUUUGUUAGGCAAUCACUAAAUUCACUUUUGAUGGCAUUCUUGGCCCUAAAACCAGAGGAAUAUUAUCUAUGCCACUGCCAAAUGGGCGAUCAGAAGUCGGUAACUUGUUUCAUCUUUUUGCGGCUUUCUCCUUUUUGCACAUUUCAAUCUUGUUUAUUCUUCUCUAUUUUCUGUUUUCCAGUUUGAGUUCCAAGCUUUGAGGCCUAGUUCUGGUUUAACUGCUGCCUUUGGCACGACCAUUGAUUUGCCCGUGGAAGUAUCUUGUAUGAUUGGAUCCAAGCUGUUCUCUCUUGGGGGUUCAUUUGAGGCUGCCUACGAUAAAGAUUCAAAAUCUUAUACCUAUGGUCACUCCAUUGGCCUGGCUGCGAAAUUUCCCUCAACCUCUGUUAGCUUCGUGAUGUGAGUUCAGUUGACUUGUUCUGUAUUGACCUGUGGCAUAUGGCUGUAUACUUAUAACAUGUAACUGCAGGGAUCACAAUAGAACUGUCACCGCCACAGCUGUCUGUGAUUUUCCAUCCUGGCGCACAUCAUUUGGCUUGAUGGCGAAGCACCACUUGGUUGAUCCCAGCAAUCAUCAAGUCCCUGCUGGUGCUUUUGAAGAUGCUGCGGUUGUUGUGGGUGUGAGGCAUCGAUUAGGUCAAGCUUUGUCUCUGAAGGUUCGCUAGUGCAGUGGUCAAGGCUUCCUUUCGGCGAAGGCUCAGUGUUGCGCUCUCAGGCGAGAUGAACCUGCGAAACAUCUGUCAAGAUCCGAAAGUAGGGGUUGUGCUAUCGUUUCCUCAGUGCCGGUGGUCUUGCUGUGGUCAAUUGCUCGCUGUAAGCUCUGAGGCCAUUUUGUGAUGAUGUCUGUUGAGAACUGCCAUUAGUUUCUGCCUGCCCUUCUGACUUGGAGAUAUUGUGCCACGCAAGUGUGUCUGCUGUGCUGACUAUUUGGGAGUUUUGGAAACCUGAUUACAGUACUUGUUGCUGGCCUGUCAUUCUUGUGUGGUUCUGUUUGAUUGGCAGAA